GAUGAACGCUGGCGGCGUGCCUAAUACAUGCAAGUCGAGCGAACAGAUGAGGAGCUUGCUCCUCUGACGUUAGCGGCGGACGGGUGAGUAACACGUGGAUAACCUACCUAUAAGACUGGGAUAACUUCGGGAAACCGGAGCUAAUACCGGAUCAUAUAUUGAACCGCAUGGUUCAAUAGUGAAAGACGGCUUUGCUGUUACUUAUAGAUGGAUCCGCGCCGCAUUAGCUAGUUGGUAAGGUAACGGCUUACCAAGGCAACGAUGCGUAGCCGACCUGAGAGGGUGAUCAGCCACACUGGAACUGAGACACGGUCCAGACUCCUACGGGAGGCAGCAGUAGGGAAUAUUCCGCAAUGGGCGAAAGCCUGACGGAGCAACGCCGCGUGAGUGAUGAAGGUCUUCGGAUCGUAAAACUCUGUUAUUAGGGAAGAACAAAUGUGUAAGUAACUAUGCACGUCUUGACGGUACCUAAUCAGAAAGCCACGGCUAACUACGUG
Molecule: ribosomal RNA, 497 nt
Filed under: uncultured bacterium
Lineage: Bacteria
Description: partial 16S ribosomal RNA
Rfam family: Bacterial small subunit ribosomal RNA
Source: RNAcentral